Molecule: ribosomal RNA, 498 nt
Filed under: Tapirus terrestris (Brazilian tapir)
Lineage: Eukaryota; Metazoa; Chordata; Mammalia; Perissodactyla; Tapiridae
Description: partial 16S ribosomal RNA
Rfam family: Bacterial large subunit ribosomal RNA
Source: RNAcentral
UGCCCAGUGACAUCUGUUUAAACGGCCGCGGUAUCCUAACCGUGCAAAGGUAGCAUAAUCACUUGUUCUCUAAAUAAGGACUUGUAUGAAUGGCCACACGAGGGUUUAACUGUCUCUUACUUCUAAUCAGUGAAAUUGACCUUCCCGUGAAGAGGCGGGAAUAACAAAAUAAGACGAGAAGACCCUAUGGAGCUUCAAUUAAUCAAUUCACUAAAGUAUAAACUUCCAACCUACCAGGCAUAAAAAACUUUAACUGAAUUCGACAAUUUCGGUUGGGGUGACCUCGGAGAACAAAAAAACCUCCGAGUGAUUAAAGCUUAGACUAACCAGUCAAAGCACUACAUCACUUAUUGAUCCAAAUUAUUGAUCAACGGAACAAGUUACCCUAGGGAUAACAGCGCAAUCCUAUUCUAGAGUCCAUAUCGACAAUAGGGUUUACGACCUCGAUGUUGGAUCAGGACAUCCCAAUGGUGCAACCGCUAUUAAUGGUUCGUUUGU